UACAGAGGUCUCAAGCGUUGUUCGGAUUUACUGGGCGUAAAGGGCGCGUAGGCGGCCACCGCAAGUCAGUUGUGAAAUCUCUGGGCUUAACCCAGAAAGGUCAACUGAUACUGCGGGGCUAGAGUGCAGAAGGGGCGACUGGAAUUCUCGGUGUAGCGGUGAAAUGCGUAGAUAUCGAGAGGAACACCUGCGGCGAAGGCGGGUUGCUGGGCUGACACUGACGCUGAUGCGCGAAAGCUAGGGGAGCGAACGGG
Molecule: ribosomal RNA, 254 nt
Filed under: uncultured bacterium
Lineage: Bacteria
Description: partial 16S ribosomal RNA
Rfam family: Bacterial small subunit ribosomal RNA
Source: RNAcentral